UCUGUUUAUUGGCCCUGCAGGCUGACAAGGAACUGACACCUGUGCCCAAGCCUUUUCCAAACCUUGGCAUAAACAGGCACGUUCAUUAUGCAGCAGAAUUGUAGAUCCAUGUGUCCUCAAGGCAGGGGAGAGCAGCAGACUUUACCCUUACAAGGAAGAACAGGAGUGAAUAUGUGAAGAGUGAUAAGGGUGAUCAGGCUUCUGGAGCAGCUUCCAUGUGAUGAAGGAAAUUUGACAAUCUUCAGCCUGGAGUAGAAUCAACUGACAGAGAAUUUGAUAGAGAUCUACAGGACUGGGAAUGACAUGAAAAAGCAUUUGUUCAUCUUUCAUGCCAGACUUUCAAACUCUGCAAUGUGACUGACUGAUGUGGUAAGUGCAGUUAAUUUUAAUUCUGAUUUUUAGGACUGGAUUUGUCAAUCAAUAUUGUUCACUGGAGUAAUUCAGUAAGUGUCUCUAAUUUCUGAGCCUUUUUUUCCCCUCUCUUUCUUUCUCUUUUCCUUAAUAAUUUAGAGGUGAAACUUCUCUAAGAGCUACCUGUCAA
This is a non-coding RNA of Sturnus vulgaris (Common starling), 541 nucleotides long. NCBI's taxonomy places the organism in Eukaryota, Metazoa, Chordata, Aves, Passeriformes, Sturnidae. The record is from RefSeq and is a predicted model, not a curated record.